RNAcentral lists this ribosomal RNA (463 nucleotides) under uncultured bacterium. RNAcentral describes it as "partial 16S ribosomal RNA". It matches the Rfam family "Bacterial small subunit ribosomal RNA", at positions 339 to 795 of the family's 1533-position model. The record is from RNAcentral.
CUACGGGACGCACCAGUGGGGAAUAUUGCACAAUGGGCGCAAGCCUGAUGCAGCCAUGCCGCGUGUAUGAAGAAGGCCUUCGGGUUGUAAAGUACUUUAAGCGGGGAGGAAGGGAGUAAAGUUAAUACCUUUGCUCAUUGACGUUACCCGCAGAAGAAGCACCGGCAACUCCGUGCCAGCAGCCGCGGUAAUACGGAGGGUGCAAGCGUUAAUCGGAAUUACUGGGCGUAAAGCGCACGAAGGCGGUUUGUUAAGUCAGAUGUGAAAUCCCCGGGCUCAACCUGGGAACUGCAUCUGAUACUGGCAAGCUUGCGUCUCGUAGAGGGGGGUAGAAUUCCAGGUGGAGCGGUGAAAUGCGUAGAGAUCUGGAGGAAUACCGGUGGCGAAGGCGGCCCCCUGGACGAAGACUGACGCUCAGGUGCGAAAGCGUGGGUAGCAAACAGGAUUAGAUACCCGAGUAGUC